Molecule: ribosomal RNA, 253 nt
Filed under: uncultured bacterium
Lineage: Bacteria
Description: partial 16S ribosomal RNA
Rfam family: Bacterial small subunit ribosomal RNA
Source: RNAcentral
UACGAAGGGGGCUAGCGUUGCUCGGAAUCACUGGGCGUAAAGCGCACGUAGGCGGAUCGUUAAGUCAGGGGUGAAAUCCUGGAGCUCAACUCCAGAACUGCCUUUGAUACUGGCGACCUUGAGUUCGGGAGAGGUGAGUGGAACUGCGAGUGUAGAAGUGAAAUUCGUAGAUAUUCGCAAGAACACCAGUGGCGAAGGCGGCUCACUGGCCCGAUACUGACGCUGAGGUGCGAAAGCGUGGGGAGCAAACAGG